GUGGGUAUAGCUUAACCGGUUAGAGCCGCGGCCUUUUAAGCCGUUAGUCCGGGUUCAACUCCCGGUACCCGUA
RNAcentral lists this transfer RNA (73 nucleotides) under Protostelium mycophagum. RNAcentral's name for it is "tRNA-Lys". It matches the Rfam family "tRNA". Rfam says of the family: Transfer RNA (tRNA) molecules are approximately 80 nucleotides in length. The record is from RNAcentral. Lineage: Eukaryota; Evosea; Variosea; Protosteliida; Protosteliaceae.